RNAcentral lists this ribosomal RNA (253 nucleotides) under uncultured bacterium. RNAcentral's name for it is "partial 16S ribosomal RNA". It matches the Rfam family "Bacterial small subunit ribosomal RNA", at positions 524 to 776 of the family's 1533-position model. The record is from RNAcentral.
UACAGAGGGGGCAAGCGUUGUUCGGAAUUAUUGGGCGUAAAGGGCGCGUAGGCGGCCUGCUAAGUCGAACGUGAAAUCCCUGGGCUCAACCCAGGAACUGCGUCCGAUACUGGUUGGCUUGAAUCCGGGAGAGGGAUGUGGAAUUCCAGGUGUAGCGGUGAAAUGCGUAGAUAUCUGGAGGAACACCGGUGGCGAAGGCGACAUCCUGGACCGGUAUUGACGCUGAGGCGCGAAAGCCAAGGGAGCAAACGGG